GACGAACCGUGCGAACGUUAUUCGGAAUCACUGGGCUUAAAGGGCGCGUAGGCGGCCAACUAAGUCGGAUGUGAAAUCCCCAGGCUUAACCUGGGAACUGCAUCCGAUACUGGAAGGCUUGAAUCCGGGAGAGGGAUGUGGAAUUCCAGGUGUAGCGGUGAAAUGCGUAGAUAUCUGGAGGAACACCGGUGGCGAAGGCGACAUCCUGGACCGGUAUUGACGCUGAGGCGCGAAAGCCAGGGGAGCAAACGGG
Molecule: ribosomal RNA, 253 nt
Filed under: uncultured bacterium
Lineage: Bacteria
Description: partial 16S ribosomal RNA
Rfam family: Bacterial small subunit ribosomal RNA
Source: RNAcentral